RNAcentral lists this ribosomal RNA (484 nucleotides) under uncultured bacterium. RNAcentral's name for it is "partial 16S ribosomal RNA". It matches the Rfam family "Bacterial small subunit ribosomal RNA", at positions 30 to 507 of the family's 1533-position model. The record is from RNAcentral.
AUUGAACGCUGGCGGCAGGCCUAACACAUGCAAGUCGAGCGGAUGAAGGGAGCUUGCUCCUGGAUUCAGCGGCGGACGGGUGAGUAAUGCCUAGGAAUCUGCCUGGUAGUGGGGGAUAACGUCCGGAAACGGGCGCUAAUACCGCAUACGUCCUGAGGGAGAAAGUGGGGGAUCUUCGGACCUCACGCUCUCAGAUGAGCCUAGGUCGGAUUAGCUAGUUGGUGGGGUAAAGGCCUACCAAGGCGACGAUCCGUAACUGGUCUGAGAGGAUGAUCGGUCACACUGGAGCUGAGACACGGUCCAGGCUCCUACGGGAGGGAGCAGUGGGCAAUAUUGGACAAUGGGCGAAAGCCUGAUCCAGCCAGGCCGCGUGUGUGAAGAAGGUCUUCGGAUUGUAAAGCACUUUAAGUUGGGAUGAAGGGCAGUAAGUUAAGACCUUGCUGUUUUGACGUUACCAACAGAAUAAGCACCGGCUAACUUCGUG